Molecule: small RNA, 2544 nt
Filed under: Rattus norvegicus (Norway rat)
Lineage: Eukaryota; Metazoa; Chordata; Mammalia; Rodentia; Muridae
Description: uncharacterized LOC102555144
Source: RNAcentral
UGUAAUAUGCAAACAUUAUGAUUUGAGUUUCCUGAUAAUCUAGGAAAAAAGGAAAACAAGACGAUUCACUUAUGUGGUUGGAAUUAUAAAAUGCUAACCAAUACCUAUUUCUUCCUCAUUGUAGCAUUUCAUGUUUUGCCACGGAGUGGCUUCACCCAUGUGAUCAAUUUCCCCCUGGUCAAUGGGAUGGGAAUGGACUUGAUAGGAAACCACAGGAUAUACUUUUAGCAUAAUGAAUAUGCACCGAGCCCAAGAUGUGAUCGAAGAAGCUGGAAGUGACACUUGGAACCCAGGAAGCCAGUGUCCUUUGACAGGUCGCCUCCACUGGUCCUGGGCGGCCAUUGCUGGAGCUCUCACGCAGCACAGAGUAUGCUCUGACAGUUUAGCGAUUGGUACUUUAAAGUGGAGCUGUGUAGUGAGAACAGGAACCCUAAAGCGUGCAGCAGUGCUUCAGUGGUGAGGCAGCGGACAUUGAAGCUGAUGGUGUUGAGGCUCGUAGAGGAACUAAUGCUUUCCGUGCCAUGGUACACACUGGAUGAGGCAGUCACCAGCAACAGAUGACGUCAUUCCCAAUCUCUGCAGCACCUGAUUGAAAUGUGUGUGUCCAGUACAGCUUUCCAGCAGUAAACGCCAUGCAUGAUUUGCUCAGCCCAUCUCAAUCAUCUGAACAAUGGGUGUGUGCUUCUGGUUCGAGGUCACAGCAAAGCUAUUGAUCAUGGCCAGUCCCAAACUCAGUGGGCUCCUUUCCGUCCUCCCAUCCUCAGUUGUCCUGGGGCACCAGACAAGGCAGAUUACACGAAGCCUCUGAGAAAACAGCACAGACAAUAAUUCCACCUCAAAACCUAAUCUGAUGCACGGACGGUCAGUCUGCUGAACGAACUUUCCCACCAUGAAUGUAAGUUGAUUUUGUUUCUUUAUUUUUCCCCCCAAAGGUUCUGACCUACUAAGUGUCCUUAAUGUGGCUCACACCUUUAAGGAAGCAAGAGGCUCACUCAUUUGGAUAGUCCCAACCUGCUCCUUUUGCAUUCUGACAUAGCUGAUGAGUCCCGUAAAUGACAUUUCCUCAGAAUAUGGGUCAAUAAACAUUUAUUGAGUACUUCCUGGGGGCCAGGGCCUGGUUACAUGGAUAAUAUUUACAGAUAGCAGGAAAAGUCAUGGAAGAUAUUCAAGAAAAUUGUAGUCUGCAUCUGGAGAGGAGGAGGGGAGACAGAGAGACAGAUAUAUUAACAAGUCAUAAAUAAGUAACUAGAUAAGUGCUAAACAUUGAGGACAAAGUACUAGGUUAGGUUCAAACUCCACUGGGCAGGAAAUAGCUCACUGGGAGAUGAGGAAAGCUUGCAUAUGAGGCUUUCGAAGUAGGGCUUAAAGAUGGGUCAGAGUUUAAUAGGUGGUCAGCAUUCACAGAGCCUAGGGAAGAACACGAGAUCAGAGCCAUCAGCAGAAUAAGGAACGUGUCUGAGUGGAUUGAUAGACUUAACUUUUGACUGGACCCUUUGUGUCUCCAUAAAGAAUGUAGUUUGCUGUGUCCUGCAUUCCUGCAAGCCUCUGCGUCCUGUUUUUUGGUUUUUUGUUUUUUGUUUUGUCUUGGCUUCACUAUUUGGUCAAGUCUUCAUCCCCAUCUUUCACACCUUGGCCUUAUGGGAGAUUCAGGAAAGAGCUGGAGAGGGCCAGCUGUUUCUUGCUGUCUCAAAGCACUUUCUCCAAGGCACACGUUAAUGCGGCUUCUGUGUCCUCAUUGCACAGCCUUGGGAAGAAGGUGGUAGGGAUGGACCCACUGGAGAGGAAGCCUUUGGUUUUUAAAAGCCAUCUAGACUGGCAGUUGUUCAGCCUUGCCUCAACUACAAAGUCAGUGAACGUCCUGCAACAUACGCUCGGGUGUGGACGUCGGGUUCCUAAUAGAAACUGGAACUUGUAUCACAUAGCAGCUGGUGGUGACAUCACACAGGGCCUUCCUCUGAGGACGGCAUCACACAGGGCCGCCUUCUGACAAGCUCCCUUUCUAGGGCAGUACCAAAAGCAGGUUCACUUCUCCUGAGGACAAUUUAGGGGAUGCAUGGCUAUUCUAAAAUCUGCAGCUGUCUGUUACAGAGAUGUGUGCGUAGUGGGGGCAUGACUGUAGAUGUUCCUAACACAAAUGUCUCCUGAAGACAAGAAUUCCUAAACUGUAACUCCAAAAACCGAUGGUGUUUGAAUGAAAUGUUCCUAUGUCUCUUUACUAUUUAGCCGCUGUGAUUUCACUGGCAGGACACGGAACAGAAAUGGUAGUCUAGUUAUCGUUUUGAUUUCCUAGGCUUUCAUCUCGGUAAAAACAAGAAAUAGGGCCUCCAGGGAUGACUCAACGUUUAAGAGCACAGACUGCUCUUGUGGAAGACCUGGGUUCAGUUUCUAACAUCUACAUAGCAGUUGACAACCACCUGUAACUCCAGUGCCAGGGGAUUGGACACCUUCUUCUGAAUCCACACACCAAGCACUCAGUGUGGCACCCAUGUAUUCGUGCACACAAAUAGGCAAAAUGUUCAUCUGUAUAAAAUAAAAAACAUUCAA